CGGGAUGUGGCGCAGUUGGUAGCGCAUCUGGUUUGGGACCAGAGGGUCGCAAGUUCGAGUCUUGUCAUCCCGA
This 73-nucleotide transfer RNA is filed under the name Bacteroidales bacterium. RNAcentral describes it as "tRNA-Pro". It matches the Rfam family "tRNA". Rfam says of the family: Transfer RNA (tRNA) molecules are approximately 80 nucleotides in length. Their secondary structure includes four short double-helical elements and three loops (D, anti-codon, and T loops). The record is from RNAcentral. Lineage: Bacteria; Pseudomonadati; Bacteroidota; Bacteroidia; Bacteroidales.